Molecule: ribosomal RNA, 488 nt
Filed under: uncultured bacterium
Lineage: Bacteria
Description: bacterial SSU rRNA
Rfam family: Bacterial small subunit ribosomal RNA
Source: RNAcentral
GAUGAACGCUAGCGGCAGGCUUAAUACAUGCAAGUCGAGGGGCAUCAAGGUACACGAAAGUGUAUUGUUGGCGACCGGCGGACGGGUGAGUAAUAGGUAGGUAACCUACCUCAUACUGAGGCAUAGCUGGGAGAAAUUCCAGGUAAUUCCUCAUGAGGUUAUAUGACACAUGUGAUAUAAUCAAAGGUAUCGCAAGGUACUGGUAUGAGAUGGGCUUACUGACCAUUAGCUAGUUGGUGAGAUAAGAGCUCACCAAGGCGAAGAUGGUUAGGGGUUUUGAGAGAGAGAUCCCCCACAUUGGAACUGAGAUACGGUCCAGACUCCUACGGGAGGCAGCAGUAGGGAAUAUUGGGCAAUGGGCGGAAGCCUGACGGAGCAACGCCGCGUGGGUGAAGAAGGCCUCGGUGUAAGCCUGUCUUAUGGGACGAGGAGGAGACGGUACCGAUAGGAGGAAGACCGACGGCUAACUACGUGCCAGCAGCCGCGGU